This 433-nucleotide ribosomal RNA is filed under the name uncultured bacterium. Its description in RNAcentral is "partial 16S ribosomal RNA". It matches the Rfam family "Bacterial small subunit ribosomal RNA", at positions 29 to 507 of the family's 1533-position model. The record is from RNAcentral.
AACGAACGCUGGCGGCAUGCCUAACACAUGCAAGUCGAACGAGACCUUCGGGUCUAGUGGCGCACGGGUGCGUAACGCGUGGGAACCUGCCCUUAGGUUCGGAAUAACUCCCCGAAAGGGGUGCUAAUACCGGAUAAUGUCUUCGGACCAAAGAUUUAUCGCCUUUGGAUGGGCCCGCGUUGGAUUAGCUAGUUGGUAGGGUAAAAGCCUACCAAGGCGACGAUCCAUAGCUGGUCUGAGAGGAUGAUCAGCCACACUGGGACUGAGACACGGCCCAGACUCCUACGGGAGGCAGCAGUGGGGAAUAUUGGACAAUGGGCGAAAGCCUGAUCCAGCAAGGGCGCGUGAGUGAUGAAGGCCUUAGGGUUGUAAAGCUCUUUUACCCGGGAUGAUAAUGACAGUACCGGGAGAAUAAGCUCCGGCUAACUCCGUG